Molecule: long non-coding RNA, 462 nt
Filed under: Ananas comosus (pineapple)
Lineage: Eukaryota; Viridiplantae; Streptophyta; Magnoliopsida; Poales; Bromeliaceae
Description: long non-coding RNA (ACOM_LNC004479)
Source: RNAcentral
AAAGACUUAUAACCCCUCCUGUUUCCAAACUAAACGCUGCCUUAGAUAUCGUUUGGUUGGAGAAUAAGCAAAAAAUUAUUAUUCCAGGGAUAGAUAUAAAUUGAGAUAUAAGUGGGGAUUAGAUCAAUUUUACGUUUGGAUGAAAAUUAGGUUAUUCCUGAGAAUAAAAAAAAUAACGUUUGGUUAGGUAAGAUGGAAUAAGAAAAAUAGUGGGUUUUAUAAAUAAAAAAUUAUCACAUUAUCCUCUUAUUAUAUUUGAAUUUAAAUUUUUAAAAUUUUAAAUAUAUAUUUUUAAAUUUAAAAUUUUAACUUUGAAAUUUCAAAAUUUGAAAUUUAAAAUCUCAAAUUUUAAAUUCAAAAUUUUAAAUUUUAAAUUUUAAAUUUUAAAUUUAAGAUCAAAUUUAAAUUUGAAAAAUAUAAAAUAUCAAAUUUUAAAUUUCAAAAAUUUAAAAUAUCAAAUUU